Molecule: ribosomal RNA, 415 nt
Filed under: uncultured eukaryote
Lineage: Eukaryota
Description: SSU rRNA
Rfam family: Eukaryotic small subunit ribosomal RNA
Source: RNAcentral
CAAUAGCGUAUAUUAAAGUUGUUGCAGUUAAAAAGCUCGUAGUUGGAUUUCUGGGAGGGUGCCAAUGUCCGCCAACGUGCGUGUGCAGCGGCGCCCUUCCAUCCUUCUGUUAACGCCUCUUGGCAUUCAUUUGCUGGUAGCGGGCUCAGAUAUUUUACCUUGAGAAAAUUAGAGUGUUUCAGGCAGGCUUGGCCGGAAUACAUUAGCAUGGAAUAAUGGAAUAGGACUAUGGUCUCUUUGUUGGUUUGAGGGACUGCAGUAAUGAUUAAUAGGGAUAGUUGGGGGCAUUAGUAUUUAAUUGUCAGAGGUGGAAUUCUCAGAUUUGUUAAAGACUAACUUAUGCGAAAGCAUUUGCCAAGGAUGUUUUCAUUAAUCAAGAACGAAAGUUAGGGGAUCAAAGACGAUCAGAUACCAU